AGUGAACGCUGGCGGUAGGCCUAACACAUGCAAGUCGAACGGCAGCACAGUAAGAGCUUGCUCUUACGGGUGGCGAGUGGCGGACGGGUGAGGAAUACAUCGGAAUCUACUUUUUCGUGGGGGAUAACGUAGGGAAACUUACGCUAAUACCGCAUACGACCUACGGGUGAAAGCAGGGGAUCUUCGGACCUUGCGCGAUUGAAUGAGCCGAUGUCGGAUUAGCUAGUUGGCGGGGUAAAGGCCCACCAAGGCGACGAUCCGUAGCUGGUCUGAGAGGAUGAUCAGCCACACUGGAACUGAGACACGGUCCAGACUCCUACGGGAGGCAGCAGUGGGGCAUUUUGGACAAUGGGCGCAAGCCUGAUCCAGCCAUACCGCGUGGGUGAAGAAGGCCUUCGGGUUGUAAAGCCCUUUUGUUGGGAAAGAAAAGCAGCAGGUUAAUACCCCGCUGUUCUGACGGUACCCAAAGAAUAAGCACCGGCUAACUUCGUG
RNAcentral lists this ribosomal RNA (492 nucleotides) under uncultured bacterium. RNAcentral describes it as "partial 16S ribosomal RNA". It matches the Rfam family "Bacterial small subunit ribosomal RNA", at positions 29 to 507 of the family's 1533-position model. The record is from RNAcentral.